RNAcentral lists this ribosomal RNA (396 nucleotides) under uncultured bacterium. Its description in RNAcentral is "partial 16S ribosomal RNA". It matches the Rfam family "Bacterial small subunit ribosomal RNA", at positions 523 to 918 of the family's 1533-position model. The record is from RNAcentral.
AUACGUAGGUGGCAAGCGUUGUCCGGAAUUAUUGGGCGUAAAGCGCAUGUAGGCGGUUUGGUAAGUCGGUCGUGAAAAUGCGGUGCUUAACGCCGUAUGGCGAUUGAAACUGCUGAACUUGAGUGCAGGAGAGGAAAGGGGAACUCCCAGGGUAGCGGUGAAAUGCGUAGAUAUUGGGAAGAACACCGGUGGCGAAGGCGCCUUUCUGGACUGUGUCUGACGCUCAGAUGCGAAAGCCAGGGUAGCGAACGGGAUUAGAUACCCCGGUAGUCCUGGCCGUAAACGAUGGGUACUAGGUGUGGGAGGUAUCGACUCCUUCCGUGCCGGAGUUAACGCAAUAAGUACCCCGCCUGGGGAGUACGGCCGCAAGGCUUAAACUCAAAUGAAUUGACGGGG